Molecule: ribosomal RNA, 460 nt
Filed under: uncultured bacterium
Lineage: Bacteria
Description: SSU rRNA
Rfam family: Bacterial small subunit ribosomal RNA
Source: RNAcentral
AGAAUCAACGCUGGCGGCGUGCCUAACACAUGCAAGUCGAACGAGAAAGUGGAGCAAUCCAUGAGUAAAGUGGCGCACGGGUGAGUAACACGUGACUAACCUACCCAUAAGUGGGGGAUAACCUCGGGAAACCGGGGCUAAUACCGCAUAACACCGAGAGGUCAAAGGAGCAAUUCGCUUUUGGAGGGGGUCGCGGCUGAUUAGUUAGUUGGUAGGGUAAUGGCCUACCAAGACGAUGAUCAGUAUCCGGCCUGAGAGGGCGCACGGACACACUGGAACUGAAACACGGUCCAGACUCCUACGGGAGGCAGCAGUGGGGAAUUUUGCGCAAUGGGGGAAACCCUGACGCAGCAACGCCGCGUGGAGGAUGAAGUCCCUUGGGACGUAAACUCCUUUCGAUCGGGACGAUAAUGACGGUACCGAGAGAAGAAGCCCCGGCUAACUUCGCGCCAGCAGCCGC